Molecule: ribosomal RNA, 465 nt
Filed under: Vreelandella stevensii
Lineage: Bacteria; Pseudomonadati; Pseudomonadota; Gammaproteobacteria; Oceanospirillales; Halomonadaceae
Description: partial 16S ribosomal RNA
Rfam family: Bacterial small subunit ribosomal RNA
Source: RNAcentral
CCUACGGGGUGCAGCAGUGGGGAAUAUUGGACAAUGGGGGCAACCCUGAUCCAGCCAUGCCGCGUGUGUGAAGAAGGCCCUCGGGUUGUAAAGCACUUUCAGUGAGGAAGAACGCCUGGUGGUUAAUACCCAUCAGGAAAGACAUCACUCACAGAAGAAGCACCGGCUAACUCCGUGCCAGCAGCCGCGGUAAUACGGAGGGUGCGAGCGUUAAUCGGAAUUACUGGGCGUAAAGCGCGCGUAGGUGGCUUGAUAAGCCGGUUGUGAAAGCCCCGGGCUCAACCUGGGAACGGCAUCCGGAACUGUCAAGCUAGAGUGCAGGAGAGGAAGGUAGAAUUCCCGGUGUAGCGGUGAAAUGCGUAGAGAUCGGGAGGAAUACCAGUGGCGAAGGCGGCCUUCUGGACUGACACUGACACUGAGGUGCGAAAGCGUGGGUAGCAAACAGGAUUAGAUACCCUAGUAGUC